GAUGAACGCUAGCGGCAGGCUUAACACAUGCAAGUCGAGGGGUAAGAGAAGCUUGCUUUUCUGAGACCGGCGCACGGGUGCGUAACGCGUAUGCAAUCUACCUUUCACAAAGGGAUAGCCCAGAGAAAUUUGGAUUAAUACCUUAUAGUAUAUCGAGUUGGCAUCAACAUGAUAUUAAAGAUUUAUCGGUGAAAGAUGAGCAUGCGUCCCAUUAGCUAGUUGGUAUGGUAACGGCAUACCAAGGCUACGAUGGGUAGGGGUCCUGAGAGGGAGAUCCCCCACACUGGUACUGAGACACGGACCAGACUCCUACGGGAGGCAGCAGUGAGGAAUAUUGGACAAUGGGCGCAAGCCUGAUCCAGCCAUGCCGCGUGCAGGAUGACGGUCCUAUGGAUUGUAAACUGCUUUUAUACAGGAAGAAACACC
This 426-nucleotide ribosomal RNA is filed under the name uncultured bacterium. Its description in RNAcentral is "bacterial SSU rRNA". It matches the Rfam family "Bacterial small subunit ribosomal RNA", at positions 28 to 454 of the family's 1533-position model. The record is from RNAcentral.